Molecule: ribosomal RNA, 465 nt
Filed under: uncultured bacterium
Lineage: Bacteria
Description: bacterial SSU rRNA
Rfam family: Bacterial small subunit ribosomal RNA
Source: RNAcentral
AAUCAACGCUGGCGGCGUGCCUCAGACAUGCAAGUCGAACGAUUAAAGCUCUCUUCGGAGAGUGUAUAGAGUGGCGCACGGGUGAGUAACACGUAAGUAAUCUACCCUCGAGUGGGGAAUAACAACCGGAAACGGUUGCUAAUACCGCAUAAUGCAGCGGCACCGCAAGGUGACAGUUGUUAAAGAUUUAUCGCUUGAGGAGGAGCUUGCGGCAGAUUAGCUAGUUGGUAGGGUAACGGCUUACCAAGGCUACGAUCUGUAACCGGUCUAAGAGGACGGUCGGUCACACUGACACUGAAUAACGGGUCAGACUCCUACGGGAGGCAGCAGUCGAGAAUUUUGGGCAAUGGGCGAAAGCCUGACCCAGCAACGCCGCGUGAAGGAUGAAGUAUUUCGGUAUGUAAACUUCGAAAGAAUAGGAAGAAUUAAUGACGGUACUAUUUAUAAGGUCCGGCUAACUACGUG